UUUUUUUUGGGUAAUGCUCUAAUAAUGAUGAUCAUCACACUUCUAUUGAUUACAACAUAAGGAUUACAACUCGAAACUUAGAACAAGAUAUGACUCUAUAUGAAUGCCUCCGGCGGUGUACCGGGAUGGUGCAAUGAAUCAACAUGUAUGAAAAAUAAUGCAUGGUGGCUUUGCCACAAAUACGAUGUCAACUACAUGAUCAUGCAAUGGCAAUAUGACAAAAGUAAUGUAUGUCAUGAAUAUGAUGAUGCAAGUUGCAUGGCAAUAUAUCUCGGAAUGGCUAUGGAAAUGCCAUGAUAGGUAGGUAUGGUGGCUGUUUUGAGGAAGAUAUAAGGAGGUUUAUGUGUGAUAGAGCGUAUCAUAUCACGGGGUUUGGAUGCAUCGGCGAAGUUCGCACCAACUCUCGAGGUGAGAAAGGGCAAUGCAUGGUACCGAAGAGUCUAGCAAAUGCGGAAAGGUAAAAGUGCUUAUAAUCCAUGGACUCAACAUUAGUCAAAAGAACUCAUAUACUUAUUGCAAAAAUUUAGAAGUCAUCAAAAAUCAAGUACUACGCGCAUGCUCCUUGGGGGAUAGAUUGGUAGGAAAAGACCAUCACUCGUCCCCGACCGCCACUCAUAAGGAUGCACAAGCUAGGUACACUUCAUAUUUCAAAUUUGUUACACAGCUUUAACCAUACGUGCAUGCUACGGGACUUGCAAACUUCAACACAAGUAUUUCUCAAAUUCACAAUUACUAAACUAUCACGACUUUGAUAUUAUUACCUCCAUACCUCAAAACAAUUAUCAAGCAUCAAACUUAUCUUAGUAUUCAACACACUCAAAAGAAAGUUUCGCAUAUCUUGAAUACCAAGUAUAUUAACAUUAAGCAAAUUACCAUGCUAUUAACAACUCUCAAAAUAAUCUAAGUGAAGCAUGAGAGAUCAAUAGUUUCUUUAAAACAAAUCCACCACCGUGCUCUAAAAGAUCUAAGUGAAGUACUAGAGCAAAAAUUAUCACGCUCAAAAGAUAUAAGUGAAGCUCUAUGAGCAAAAUUAUCAAGCUCAAAAGAUAUAAGUGAAGCAUAUAGAGUAUUCUAGCAAAUUCCAAUUUGUGUAUGGCUCUCUCAAAAGGUGUUUACAGCAAGGGUGAUUGUGGUAAACUAACAAGAAAAGACGCAAAUAAUACAAGAUGCUCCAAGCAAAACACAUAACAUGUGGUGAAUAAAAAUAUAGCUCCAAGUAAAUUACCGAUGGAAGUAGACGAAAGAAGGGAUGCCUUCCGGGGCAUCCCCAAGCUUUGAAUUUUUGGUGUCCUUGGAUUAUCUUGGGGGUGCCAUGGGCAUCCCCAAGCUUAGGCUCUUGCCACUCCUUGUUCCAUAAUCCAUCAAAAGAAUUCACCCAAAACUUGAAAGCUUCACAACACAAAACUCAAUAGAAAUCUCGUGAGCUCCGUUAGAGAAAGAAAACAAAAGACUACUUUAAGGUACUGUAAUUAACUCAUUCUUUAUUUAUAUUGGUGUUAAACCUAAUGUAUUCCAACUUCUCUAUGGAUCAUAAACUUUUUACUAGUCAUAGAUUCAUCAAAAUAAGCAAACAACACACGCAAAACAGAAUCUGUCAAAAACAGAAUAGUCUGUAGUAAUCUGUAACUAACGCAAACUUCUGGAACUCUAAUUUUUUUACCAAAAUAGAACGUAAUGGACAAUUUGUCUAUUGAUCAGCAGCAAAAAGAAUCAAUGCAAAAUCACGUUCCUGUGAUGUAUUGAAUUUUUUCUCGUGAGCGCAAAGUUUCUGUUUUCAGCAGAAUCAAAUCAACUAUCAUCAUAGCUUAUCCUAUAGGUUCUACUUGGCACAAACACUAAUUAAAACAUAAAGCCACAUCUAACCAGAGGCUAGAUGGAUUAUUUAUUCCUAAACAGAAGCAAAAACAAAAAACAAAAAAUAAAAUUGGGUUGCCUCCCAACAAGCUCACUCGUUUAACGCCCCUAGCUAGGCAUAAAAGCAAGGAUAGAUCUAGGUUUUCCCAUCUUUGGUAGGCAAUCCAUAAGUGGAUCUCAUGAUAGAUUUAUAAGGUAAUUUUAUUUUAUUUCUAGGGAAGUGUUCCAUGCCCUUCUUUAAGGGAAAUUGGAAUCUAAUAUUCCCUUCCUUCAUAUCAAUAAUCGCACCAAUCGUUCUAAGGAAAGGUCUACCAAGAAUAAUAGGACAUGAAGGAUUGCAAUCUAUAUCAAGAACGAUAAAAUCUACGGGCACAUAAUUCCUAUUUGCAACAAUAAGAACAUCAUUAAUUCUUCCCAUAAUCUUUUUAAUAGUGGAAUCCGCAAGAUGCAAGUUUAGAGAGCAAUCUUCAAAGUCACGGAAAUCUAGCAAAUCACACAAAGUUUUGGGAAUAGUGGAGACACUAGCACCAAAAUCACACAAGGCAUGAAACUCAUAGUUUUUAAUUUUUAUUUUAGUAGUAGGUUCCCACUCAUCAUAGAGUUUUCUAGGGAUAGAAACUUUCAACUCAAGUUUUUCUUCAUAAGACUGCAUCAAGGCAUCAACAAUGUGUUCGGUAAAGGCCUCAUUUUGACUAUAAGCAUGAGGAGAAUUUAGCACGGAUUGCAACAAGGAAAUACAAUCAAUUAGAGAGCAAUUUUCAUAAUUAAAUUCCUUGAGAUCCAAAAUAGUGGGUUUAGCAACAUCUAGGUUUUUAUUUCUUUCAAUCCCACUUUCAUCAAUUUCAUCAUCAAGGUCUAAAAACUCCGAAUUCUUAAAACGCCUUCUAGGUAAAGGAAGAUCAUAUUUAGUUUCAUCAAGACUCAUAUUGCAAAACAAAGAUUUAAUGGGGGACACAUCAAUAACUUUUAGAUCUUCAUCUUGAUUUUCAUAGGAAUUGGAAGAACACGCUUUAAUAAAGGCAUCUUUGGAAGCACGCAUCCUAGCGGUUCUUUAUUUGCACUCAUCAAUGGAAAUUCUCAUAGCUUUGAGAGACUCAUUGAUAUCAUGUUUAGGAGGAAUAGAUCUAAGCUUUAAAGAAUCAAUUUCAAGAGAAAUUCUAUCAACGUUCCUAGCCAAAUCAUCAACUUUAAGCAAUUUCUCUUCAAGCAAAGCAUUAAAAUUCUUUUGUGAAUUCAUAAACUCUUUAACACUACUCUCAAAUUCAGAGGGCAUAUUAUUAAAAUUUUCAUAAGAAUUAUUGUAGGGAUUUCCAUAAUUAUUAGAGGGAUUACUAGGGAACGGUCUAGUGUUAAAAUUUCCUCUAUAAGCAUUGUUUCCAAAAUUAUUCCUACCAACAAAAUUCACAUCCAUAGAUUCAUUAUUAUUCUCAAUCAAAGAAGACAAAGGCAUAUCAUUUGGAUCAAGAGGAGUAUUUUUAGUAGCAAACAUCUUCAUAAGUUCAUCCAUCUUUCCACUUAAAACAUUGAUUUCUUCUAUAGCAUGCACUUUUUUACUAGAAGAUCUUUCGGUGUGCCAUUGAGAAUAAUUAGCCAUAAUAUUAUCAAGCAAUUUUGUAGCAUCUCCUAACGUAAUUUCCAUAAACGUGCCUCCUGCGGCCGAAUCUAAGAGAUUUCUAGAAGCAAAGUUCAAACCGACAUAAAUUUUUUGUAUGAUCAUCCAUAAAUUCAAACCAUGUGUAGGACAAUUACGUAUCAUUAAUUUCAUUCUCUCCCAAGCUUGUGCAACAUGUUCAUGAUCAAGUUGCUUAAAAUUCAUAAUAUCGUUCCUAAGAGAGAUAAUCUUAGCGGGAGGAAAAUACUUAGAGAUAAAAGCAUGUUUGCAUUUGUUCCAAGAAUCAAUACUAUUUUUAGGCAAAGAAGAAAACCACGCUUUAGCACGAUCUCUAAGCAAAAAAGGAAAUAGCUUCAUUUUAACAACAUCAUUAUCGACAUCUUUUUCCUUUUGCAUAUCACAUAAAUCAAUGAAGCUAUUCAGAUGAGCAGCGUCAUCUUCACUAGGAAGGCCGGCGAAUUGAUCUUUCAUAACAAGAUUCAACAAAGCAGUAUUGAUUUCACAAGAUUCGGUAUUGGCAAGAGGAGCAAUCGGAGUGCUAAGGAAAUCAUUAUUAUUGGUAUUGGUGAAGUCACACAAUUUGGUAGCAUCUUGAGCCAUCGCGACAAACAAGCAAUCCAACACACGAGCAAACAAAAAGGCAAACAAGAAAAAAGGCGAAAGGGAAAGAGAGGAGGAGAUUGGGAAAGAGAGGGCGAAUAAAACGGCAAGGGUGAAGUGGGGGGAGAGGAAAACAAGAGGCAAAUAAUGUAAUGCGAGAGAUAGGGAUUGUGAUGGGUACUUGGUAUGGUUCACUUUUGCGCAAACUCCCCGGCAACGACGCCAGAAAUUAUUCUUGCUACCUCUUGAGCACUGCGUUGGAUUUCCCUGAAGAGGAGAGGAUGAUGCAGUAAAGUAGCGUAAGUAUUUCCCUCAGAUUUUGAGAACCAAGGUAUCAAUCCAGUAGGAGGCCAUGCACAAGUCCCUCGUACCUGCACAAAACGAUAGCUACUCGCAACCAACGCGAUUAGGGGUUGCCAAUCCCUUCACGGUCACUUACGAGGGUGAGAUCUGAUAGAGAUGAUAAAUAAUAUUUUUGGUAUUUUCGAUAUAGAGAUGCAAAGUGAAAAGUAAAAGGCAAAGUAAAACCACAGCAAGUAUUAAAGUAAUGGAGAUUGAUAUGAUGAGAAUAGACUCGGGGGCCAUAGGUUUCACUAGUGGCUUCUCUCAAGAGCAUAAGUAUUCUACGGUGGGUGAACAAAUUACAGUUGAGCAAUUGAUAGAAUUGAGCAUAGUUAUGAGUAUAUCUAGGUAUGAUCAUGUAUAUAGGCAUCACGUCCGAGACAAGUAAACCGAAACGAUUCUGCAUCUACUACUAUUACUCCACUCAUCGACCGCUAUCCAGCAUGCAUCUAGAGUAUUAAGUUAAAAACAGAGUAACGCCUUAAGCAAGAUGACAUGAUGUAGAGGGAUAACUUCAUGCAAUAUGAUAAAAAACCAUCUUGUUAUCCUCGAUGGCAACAAUACAAUACGUUCCUUGCAACCCUUUCUGUCACUGGGUAAGGACACCGCAAGAUCGAAACCAAAGCUAAGCACUUCUCCUAUUGCAAGAACUACCAAUCUAGUUGGCCUAACCAAACGGAUAAUUCGAAGAGACUUGCAAAGAUAACUCAAUCAUACAUAAAAGAAUUCAGAGAAGAUUCAAAUAUUAUUCAUAGAUAAGCUGGAUCAUAAACCCACAAUUCAUCGGUCUCAACAAACACACCGCAAAAGGAAGAUUACAUCGAAUAGAUCUCCACAAGAGAGGGGGAGAACAUUGUAUUGAGAUCCAAAAAGAGAGAAGAAGCCAUCUAGCUACUAACUAUGGACCCGUAGGUCUGAGGUAAACUACUCACACUUCAUCAGAGAGGCUAUGUUGUUGACGUAGAAGCCCUCCGUGGUGGAUGCGCCCUCCGGCGGAGCUCCGGAACAGGCCCCAAGAUGGGAUCUCGUGGAUACAGAAAGUUGCAGCGGUGGAAUUAGGUUUUUGGCUCUCCUCUUGAUCUGUCGGGUGUAUGUAGGUAUAUAUAGGAGGAAGGAGUACGUCGGUGGAGCAACAGGGGGCCACGAGGUAGGGGGCGCGCCCAGGGGGGAGGGCGCGCCCCCCACCCUCGUGACCACCUCUUUUGUUCCUUGGAGCAGGGUCCAAGUCUCCUGGAUCACGUCCGAUGAGAAAAUCACGUUCCCGAAGGUUUCAUUCUGUUUGGACUCCGUUUGAUAUUCUGUUUCUUCGAAACACUGAAAUGGGCAAAAAACAGCAAUUUUGGGUUGGGCCUCCGGUUAGUAGGUUAGUCCCAAAAAUAAUAUAAAAGUGGAAAAUAAAGCCCAAUAUAGUGGUUGCUCUCCCUUUCAUCGUGCCGCCAAAAGCGUUCAGGGCGCUCGCGGCUGCAGCACUGGAUCAAGCAUGCUGUGGCUACCCAGGCCGCGACGGUGGAUGUGGUAGCUCUUGAUUUCGACGAGCCCGCCCUUGACCUCUCGGAUGGGUCACUUGACGAUUCCUCUGAGGAGUUCGAGUGCGAAAGUGUUGAGUCGACCGUCGAAAUCCUCAUAACGGACAACUCUGAACAUCGCGCACCCCGGAGAUACAUGGAUACCCGGGACGGCCGCACGGGCGCGUCACACGACAACACUGACGAUGGUGUCGCGGGUCACGAGUCGUAGGUGCCCCAAGAUCUCACCCGGGAGCGACGAGACAAGCUUCAUCACAAGAACGAACAACUCCUAAACACCCCCAUCACUGGGAGGACCCCCGAGGCAUUGGCCAUGGAGUCGACUCGCCUGGCCACCUUGGCCAAGCGUGAUUGCCUCAAACGGCUUUAUAAGGAGCUGGACGAUCGUGAACGCCGCCAAGCCAGCUCCAGUCGGCAUAAGCGCCGGCUCUUCUCGAGCGAUCAGCCUCGUAAGUCUCAAGUCCUCAGUACUCCACUGCAAAAUCUAGCAGCUGCCACUCUGAUUGCGGAUUCCAUCCAGCCCUCCGGUUCCGCAGCUAGAGAGGGGAUUCGACAAAUCCAGAUGCUCCUGAAGAUGGCGUUGUCGCAAGACACGGCAGUGUUCCAGUCCAGAGAUCGUAUCCAUAGUGCAUCAGUGUGUGCGAAGACCGUCCAGUCGGCUCAUAGCCCACUUGGCUCCGGCACGUGCUGAGCCACAUCCUCCACAAGAGAUCACUACGAACAUCGGAGGCACGAUCGAGUUGCGUUCCCGGGGUCACGAUGACUAUGACCGUGCCCUGAUGCCUCCACUGCGAGAUGGCGCGUACGGGUGCCAGCCCUACGAUGACAGACGGACACACGGUGGCAAUCGUAGGCCGAGUCCCACUCAUCACACGACGGACUCUUGAGACCUGCAGUUCAACGCGAGAUCCAUUCUCACUCAAAACCUAGUCAAAAGGGGCCGGGCCUUGCGAGGAGGCCAAGAUGGCGACGUUCUGAUAUGUCUAUUUUGCAUCAUGCUUUUAUAUCAAUUUUUAUUUCAUUAUAGACUGUUACUACACGUUAUGUCACAAUACGUAUGCCUUUUCUCUCUUAUUUUUUAAGGUUUACAUGAAGAGGGAGAAUGCCGACAACGGGAAUUCUGGAUUGGAAAAGGAGCAAAUAUUAGAGACCUAUUCUGCACAACUCCAAAAGUCCUGAAACUCCACAGAAAUCAGUUUUGGAAUAUAUUAAAAAUAUUGGGCGCAGAAAGCACCAGAGGCGCGCCCCCUGCCUCGUGGGCCACCUGGUAGGCCCCCGAUGUCCAUCUUCUGCUAUAUGGUGUCUUUGGACCUGGAAAAAAUCAUAAGGAAGCUUUCGGGACGAAGCGCCGCCGUCUCGAGGUGGAACCUGGGCACGACCAAUCUAGGGCUCCGGCGGAGCUGUUCUGCCGGGGAAACAUCCCUCCGGGAGGGGGAAAUCACCGCCAUCGUCAUCACCAUCGAUCCUCUCAUUAAGAGGGGGUCAAUCUCCAUCAACAUCUUCACCAACACCAUCUCCUCUCAAACCCUAGUUCAUCUCUUGUAUUCGAUCUUUGUCUCAAAAUCUCAGAUUGGUACCUGUGGGUUGCUAGUAGUGUUGAUUACUCCUUGUAGUUGAUGCUAGUUGGUUUAUUCGGUGGAAGAUCAUAUGUUCAGAUCCUUAAUGCUAUUCAAUACCCCUCUGAUUAUGAACAUGAAUAUGAUUUGUGAGUAGUUAAGUUUGUUCCUGAGGACAUGAGAGAAGUCUUGUUAUAAGUAAUCAUGUGAAUUUGAUAUUCGUUCGAUAUUUUGAUGAGAUGUAUCUUGUCUCUCCUCUAGUGGUGUUAUGUGAACGUCGAAUACAUGACACUUCACCAUGAUUAGGGCCUAGGGGAAGGCAUUGGGAAGUAAUAAGUAGAUGAUGGGUUGCUAGAGUGACAGAAGCUUAAACCCUAGUUUAUGCCUUGCUUUGUAAGGGGCUGAUUUGGAUCCAUAUGUUUCAUGCUAUGGUUAGGCUUACCUUAAUUCUUCUUUCGUAGUUGCGGAUGCUAGCGAGGGGGGUUAAUCAUAAGUGGGAGGCUUGUCCAAGGAAGGACAACACACAAGCACCUGUCCACCCACAUAUCAAAUUAUCGAAGUAACGAACGCGAAUCAUACGAGCAUGAUGCAAACUAGCUUGACGAUAAUUCCCAUGUGACCUCGGGAGCACUUUGCUUUAUAUAAGAGUUUGUCCAGGCUUGUACUUUGCUACAAAAAGGAUUGGGCCACCUUGCUGCACCUUGUUUAAUUAUGUUACUUGUUACCCGUUACGAAUUAUCUUAUCACAAAACUAUCUGUUACCGAUAGUUUCAGUGCUUGCAGAGAAUACCUUACUGACAACCGCUUGUCAUUUCCUUCUGCUCCUCGUUGGGUUCAACACUCUUACUUAUCGAAAGGACUACAAUAGAUCCCCUAUACUUGUGGGUCAUCACGUUCCAAGUGGUUCUGUACCAUCGGGUCUUGAGUGCUUCAGCCAGUAUAUACGAGCAACAGAGAUUCCUAGCAACUUCAUGUUGGCUACGGGGAUUAGCAAGUUCACUGGCGAGUCCAAGCAAGAGAUUUGGCUGGAAGAUUACCAAGUGGUGUUCUAGAUUGGCAGCGGCAACGGCAAUGUGGCCAUGAACACUACAAAAAAAGACACAUCCAUGACAUUUUUGGCCAAAUGAUUUUUUUUCUGUCAUACUUAUGACACUUCUUUGACGAUAAUUGUGACAAAACCCGGUAUCAUCAUAGAUGUGGUGGGCUCCUACUUCUAUGACAAAAAAUCAUGACAAAAAAUGGGCUUUUCGUCCUGGGCGGGCCGGAGACGCAGCUGCAUGACAUUCUUUGGGCCGUCCAUGACGGAAAAACCAUGGUAGAAGCGAGGGCGAGGAAAAUAUCGGGGUGUUCCCGGUUACAGUGGGUGGUCGGGGCUGAGCAAUGCAUGGCGGUUUGCGCGUUUAUCUCGUACACGCACACGCGUGGGUGCGAGGCGUUGGGCUCUAACUGAACCCGAGCGAUUGCACUGUAGGCUACGCGUUACUGAACCCGAGCGAUUGAUCGAUGGCUGUUAACUGAACCCGAUCAAGUGAUUCCUUUGCUACUUCUGCAGCAAGUAGCAGAGCAAGUAGCAGAGAAGAAGCAACAACAACGCAGUAGCAGCAGGCAGCCAAGAGCAGCAGCAGAGCAAGCAACGAAGAGCGGCGGCAAGAAGCAGGGGAUGCAGCAAGCGGACGAGGCGUGGGCGAGCACGGACCAUGGGCGGCGCUCGGCGGGAGCAGGAGCGGCGUGGGCGAAGAAAUGACGAGGACGGACAACUGGUGAAAUGGGGUGAAAAUGGUGUAGUAGCGUUGGGUGCAGCGAGUUUGUCCGGCCUAUGUCCAGCGUUUGUUCUCCCAAUUUCUACCCCAUACGGGCAAAAUCCGGACAAAAUGGGUAUGGAUUUAGGGUCGUGCGGUGGAGUUAGCCUAAUGCUCAUUGAUAAUAGAUUUCAGAAAUGAUUCGCAUGGCAAGGACAUGAGAAUGGGGGCCCUCAAAAUGCCAAGGACAUGGAAUUGACAAAGCUUCAAGACUACAUUUUUGGUUAAGUGAUCCGAGAUCACAUUGAGUCCAUAGGAAAGCCAAUACUAUUAAAAGGGGAUGAGGUUUCGAUCAUGACUCAAUUGCUCAAGUCUUAGUGAUAUUGCUCCAAUAAUCCUCAAACACCUUCUCCAAAUCCUAAAAAGCCAACUCGGCCUCACCUAUCCACUUCUAUCUGGACUCACUGAGUUACUUCAGGCAGAGCCAUAAGCCAAACCCUAACACUUCAGUCCUACUGAUAUGGAUCUCGGUCCCACCGAGAUGGCGUGACCAAGUUUCUGUAAUGAAAUCGCUUCACUUCAGAAUUAUCGAGUUGAAACAAUCGGAAUUACCGUGAUUGCACUGCGCUCUCUCUGAGUUAUUCUGUUCGGUCUCACCGAGAUGUCCAACAUUCGAAUCUUUUACCCAGGUCGAUCUCACCGAGAAUUCCCUUCGGUGUCACCGAGUUGGGUCAAAAGGUUGUAACGGUUGGAUCUUUGGGUGAAGCCCAGAUAUACCCCUCCACCCCCACCUACUCUCUAAGAGAGCCAUCAGAAUGAAUCUACACUUCCAGCAUUCAUUUUAUGAGAGAGGACCACUUACUCGUGUGUUGAGAACAAGAGAUUUCAAUCCAACCAUUUGAACCUUGAUUUCUGGCCUCCCCAAGUCGCUUUCCACUCCAAUCUCUGGUAUACCCAAGCGAGAUCUGUGAGAGAGCGAUUGAGUGUUGAGGAGACUAUCAUUGAAGCACAAGAGCAAGGAGUUCAUCAUCAACUACACAUCUAUUACCUUUUGAAGAGUGGUAUCCCCUUGAUUGGUUAGGUGUCACCUGGGAGCCUCCAAGAUCAUGUGGAGUUGAACCAAAGAGUUUAUAAGGGCAAAGAGAUCGCCUACUUCGUGAAGAUCUACCCCGAGUGAGGCUAAUCCUUCGUGGAUGUAAGCCAUGAUGGAAUAGACAAGGUUGCUUCUUCAUGGACCCUUAGUGGGUGGAGCCCUCCACGGACUCGCGCAGCCGUUACCCUCCAUGGGUUGAAGUCUCCAUCCGUCCGAUAGCACCACCUAUCGGAACCAUGCCAAAAAUCACCAUGUCUUCAUUGCGUUUGAUUUCUCCGACCCCUCCUUUACGUUCAUAUGCAAAGUCUUUACUUUCCGCUGCUCAACUCUUAGACUUGCAUGUGUAGAGUGUUCCUUGACUUGGUAGAAUUGCUAAAACUUGCCUACAACUAAAUUGGGAAAAGGAUGAGGUUUUAUUUGGUAAAAUAUUUUAAUCACCCCCCCCCCUAGACAUACUUUCGAUCCUAAACAUCGGCAAUGGCAAUGCAUGUGGGUGUCGUGUCCCUCUUUUUGGGGAAGGGGGAGGGGCGUCGUUGUGGUCCUCCUAUCCACAUCACGGCUUCGGGUGAAAACCUUGACCAUAUUUUGGCCGGGCCGGUGAUGGCGUGUGCCGUCGUCACCCCCUUUGGGGCAUCACCAUGGAUUCAAGUUCACUCCGAUUGCUUCCCCUCGGCAUCAGCGGGCGACCUCGGAUCCUUUCUCGAUACCCCAUCGGCUCUGGUAGGCAACGAUCCCGACAGUUUUCAAUUGUUUACACUCGACGUUGGUAGCAUCGCUCUCUGUCCUAGGUGUUCGCAGGCAGAAUUGGCGCUCAACUUCCCGGAGCGAGAGUAUAUGGAUGCUCUCUGGCGAGAACUUAGUGUGUGUGUUCCAUCGAAGUCGAGUAGUCUCUCUUCGAGGCAUGAGUUCAUUUCAUGUUAGUAGCCUAGGGUUCUUCUUGGUAGGGUGUGGGCACUCUUGUAUUCUAGUUUGAAAUUUGAUCCGCCUUGUGAGAGAAUUUCCUCAUAACCUUUUAUCGGUUCCGCUGUUGUGCUUUAUAUAUAAAGCGGGGCUAAAAGCCUUUUUCAGUACAAGUUGGUAGGAUCACGUGACAUUGUUGCUAGUAGGCGAGCGGUUCGUAUAUCAGGGCGGCGACGCUGGAUGAGUUGGUGUGAAGGUCGUGGUCUGCGCGUGGCUUCCCUGUGUAGCUUGGGCUAUGCGCAAUCGGGUCAUGCGGCAUUGUAGUUCGAAGGCGAGCGGUGGCAUGUCGGUGCCAUGGCUCCGAGAGGUAUUGUUGGCGGAUUUUGCCUCGUGCUGCGAGGGUGGUAAGGUCGUCGCCAUGGUCUAGAUGAUAUGCAUGGUCGAUCUGGCUGGCUCAUAAACACGCGCAUACACUCACCCUAUGAACGCACACACGCACACCAUACCCCUAUGAGCACCCCCGAAAGACUGAGCCGGCUUAUCAUCUUGAAAUUUACGAAGUCAUCCUGAAAUAAUUUAGAAAUAAAUGCGAGCACCAGGACUUGAACCCUGAUGGGUUGGGGAUACCAUAGUCCUUCUAAGAGCAUCUCCAGCCGUUGGAGCCCCCCAAGACCAUCACCGGGCCAAAAAUAGCACGUCUGGGGGCAAAACACCUUCGCCGGAUGAAACGCGAGGGCGGUUUCCCACCCGUUGGUGCCCCCCAGGACAGUCGCCAGGCAAAAAGUGAAUGAGUGGGUCAGAAAAAAUGAUACAUGGAGGAAUAGGACUGGCUGUUGCUUNNNNNNNNNNNNNNNNNNNNNNNNNNNNNNNNNNNNNNNNNNNNNNNNNNNNNNNNNNNNNNNNNNNNNNNNNNNNNNNNNNNNNNNNNNNNNNNNNNNNNNNNNNNNNNNNNNNNNNNNNNNNNNNNNNNNNNNNNNNNNNNNNNNNNNNNNNNNNNNNNNNNNNNNNNNNNNNNNNNNNNNNNNNNNNNNNNNNNNNNNNNNNNNNNNNNNNNNNNNNNNNNNNNNNNNNNNNNNNNNNNNNNNNNNNNNNNNNNNNNNNNNNNNNNNNNNNNNNNNNNNNNNNNNNNNNNNNNNNNNNNNNNNNNNNNNNNNNNNNNNNNNNNNNNNNNNNNNNNNNNNNNNNNNNNNGAUCUAACCUUCCAAUCACAAAUUGGUUCGCUUCCCUCAUGGACUGGAACAAUUUGUUUAGGUUUUGGAUUCGCUUUCCCUGAUAAGGUGAAUCACAAAAAAUAAUCUAAACAAGAACACAAAAAAUCCACGCUUCGUUGAAAUUCAGUAGAUCAUUUAUCGUUAAAAUAAAUAAAUAACCAGAUGUACGAUAGACUACACCGAUCGAGUUCGGUGCUCGUUGUUUUUGAACUUAUAUGGAUUUCUUAGCCCGUGUACGCCACCAGGUCACCUCGAUGCGUACUUCCACGAGUGCGCGACCGAAUUUCCCAGGAGACCUACGUACACCGGCGGGAAGAAUUCCGGCCGGACCGAGCGCGUUCCCUUUCAAACCGAACCGUCAACGGAAUUCGCGAGCUCAGAGUAUUAUUCUACCGCCGGCAUCCAGUCGCGCCGCAGCUAAUUUCCGCGGACCUGUCGUGGCCAGCGAGCACGUAGUAUGACGUCGACGCACGCAUUGAGAACGAGGACAAUAAACAAUUGCUAGCAGUAGUAGUAGAAAACAAACCAGCGAAGCGCGGAGCCGCGAGCCGCGACGAAACCGGCGGCCAGUGGCGACAUGCGUGCGUGCGCGUAGCUGGCUGGACGGACGGGCGGACGGAUCGGGCGGGUAGGGCAGGCAGCAGGCGCCGCGCCGCGCGCGGGGCCCACACAGCCCGCGGGCGAGGCGAAGGCGAGGGCGAAACUGCCGCCGCGCGAAUCACUGCACCCCGAUGCCCGCCGCUCCCGCGCGCCGGGCCCGCCCCCUGUCUGCCGCGACCACGCCAGGUCUCCCCGCCCCAUCCGCUACUCCCCCCACGCACACGCACCACCCAAACCCACCCACCCAGCGCGCAGCCCCCACCCUUUCCCUCGUGCUACCCGCGUCCCAUCGAGGCCACAGGUAGGCCACGGAGUGCGGUGCCGCAGCGCGGAUCCGGGCAGGGGCGGCAAGGGCAGGGAGUGGCCGGCAGCGGCGGCACACGUGGCCCGUGGGCGCGUCGCCCACACGCUCACGCUACUCCCAAGGUCACGAGCGGAAAAGGGCGACCUACCACCCGCCCCGCCCCCGCCCCGCGCACCGCGCGCACACGGUCGCGAUCCCCCGCCGUACGGGGGCCACACCACACCCACACCCACGCCGACGGAAGCGAAGCAGCGAAAGAUCCACCACGGGCCCACCCGCCCCCGCAGCGGGUGGGCACCGCACCGCACUGCUGGCCGCCGCGCCUAAUUAACAAGUAGUAAUUUAUUUCACGUCCACGACGCUCCUCCACCUCGUUCGUUAUCCACAUGCCCCCUCACAGCCGCACCUACGUCUCUCCGCAGGAAACAGCCUGGAGUGGACGACACGUAGGGGUACGUACGGCGGCAGGCGCACUGAUUAUUUUUCCCUCCCACGAUCUGACACCGGACACUUCCGUCGUGCCGCCGCUGCGAGAAGACUUGGAGGGUGCUUGGAUACAUUUUAGUUUCAUGAUUAAAAGUAGUGGGACUAAAACUUAUUAGUCUCAUCCAUACUUGGAUACAAAUACUAAAUAGACUAAAAUGAGUUAAUGAGCAUUUAUUAUCCUUCAAACCCUCCAAUCCCGAACUCGCAUGUGUUAAAGAAAAUGAGUUAAAUGAAGAGAGAGAGGACUAAUCCACAUUUUAGUAGGGUUCCCCUGACUAAAAAUUUUUAGUCUCAAGACUAGUUCUAGCCUCUCUUUAGUCAAGGGUGAUUGGAAAUUUAGCCUCUAAAAGAGACUAGUUUUAGUCAGACUAAAAAUAGUCCCUUGAAUCCAAGCAUGGCCUUGGCCAAGCCCCGAGCAUUAAUAAUAAUAAAAUACCAUUUCCUCGGUCGGCAGGGCGGCUGCGGAAGCAGCGGCGGAUUUACCUUACUCUUAGAGGGUGCUUGGAUACAAGGGACUAUUUUUAGUCUGACUAAAAAUAGUCUUUUUUAGAGGCUAAAGUUCCAAGCACCCCUGACUAAAGAGAGGCUAGGACUAAUCUUAAGGCUAAAAUCUUUUAUUCAUGGGAAACCUACUAAAAUAUGUAUUAGCUCUCUUUCUUCUCAUUUAAUUCCUCUUCUUAGUUCUGGAUUGGAGGGUUUGGAGGAUAAUAAAUGCUCAAUAACUAGAUUUUAGUCUCUUUAGUAUUUGGAUCCAAGCAUGGGUGAGACUAGCAAGUUUUAGUCCCACUACUUUUAGUCAUGGGACUAAAACGUAUCAAGCAUGCUCUUAUCUAAUCUCGUUACACUUGUGCUGCCAAGCUACCAGCGGUUGGGUUAAAAUUAAAACCCAAAAGGACGGACGGCGACGGCGACAUUUUUUCCAAGGAGCCGUCCCCGCACAUCGCUGUUUAUUAUUGCGACAGAUCGUGAGCGCGAUUUGCAGUAGUAAAUUCGACACGUAGUGGGCGGCGAGCAUGGAUCCAUGCAGCAGCAGCGCGCGCACGAGGUGACCCGACCCGACCCGAGCUUUCUUCGACCGGCCAAUAAUGACCAUGCUGCAUGGGUCGCAAGCAAGCGGCCAGACGAGAUUGAGAUGAGACGAGGCGACGGGUGCAAACGCACGGGCCGCCCACCGAAACGCACUUACUCCUGCCCUCCAUCACCCCUUCCGUUUCACCAAAGAUAUGCUGGUUAUGUCUAGACUCAUAAAAAAAGAUCUGCUAGUAAAUGGAGUAGAGGAUUCGCAAAAAGUAGAAGUAACUGAGUAGUGAGUAAAUACGAGUGGUCUGUCAAAGUAGAAGUAACUCAAUAUAAUUCGGUCCAUGGCAACGCCGGCAGGACUUGUCUUGGGCGACAAUACAUCCAUCCAUCUCUGCCUCUCCGGCGAAAAAAGAAACCGUAUUUACAGAUCUGCCCCUGCCGUUGUUGUGCAAGGCGGCCGGCCUCUUCUAAAAACAUCAUGGAGGUACAUGCAAAUUUUUCUUCGUUCUACU
RNAcentral lists this long non-coding RNA (15355 nucleotides) under Triticum aestivum (bread wheat). RNAcentral's name for it is "long non-coding RNA (TAES_LNC008594)". The record is from RNAcentral. Lineage: Eukaryota; Viridiplantae; Streptophyta; Magnoliopsida; Poales; Poaceae.